GAAUGAGACUUACUCGCGGUCUCAGCAAUUACGAACAGGGCGAUGAUGUCUGAAUGGUAAUAAAUAUUAGGAUAAGAACAAAGAUUAAAAACUGAAUAACAACGAGAAAUUGAUAGAUUCGUUCCAGUUAAAAGUUAAAAAAAUAUCAAAAUAUCGCUGGUGAGCAUUUAAUGUAAAUUAAUCGAGUGCUCAGUGGAGCAACAAUAUGCGGGGGAUUCAUUUGCAAUUCCAACCGGGGAUAGGAAGAAGUAUCUCUCAAAUAUAUGCUGUUUUCUGAAUGAUAGUUUUCGUGUAUAAGGUGAUUUUCGUGAUGUUCAAGUUUCUCAACAAAUUUUGAUUGAAGAUUUUGAGCGUAUUUACACAGAGGGACAAUACCAGCUGUAUUGUAAAUACUUCUAAUUCAUUGGCCACAAUUGGAGAUAUAGUGAACCACUACUUUAUAUAGAAGUGGUUUAGUGUUUUGAGUAUGAUACGAUCAUGGCAACAACCCGUUCAAAUUGAAACCUAACUGCAAACAUAAAUGAAGCAUUCUACAUUUUGCAAUUUUAGGAAACAUAAAAUAUACUACUAGAUUAUAUAAUGUUAUGUCGUUGUUCCUUAAGCGCACCAUCGCCGUUGGCGUUUUGUUAAGUACAAAGGAGAUUUUUUCUAUUAUUAGGAAAAAAAUAGGUUCACAUUGUCCAGCAGUGAAAUUUUAUAUAAAAAAGUGUAUACCUAUUGUAUAUCAAGAAAUGGAAUUUAAUCACAAAACGUUAUAUCGAGUUUGACAAUAGUAUUACUAUAGAGUCAAAUCAGCUGAGGCUUGAUGCUACCUGUAAUAAUUAUACCAUGGGUUACACAGUUCAUUACCAUGGUUUUGAAAUGAAAACUCUUUUGGGUUUAUUGGGGAAGCCGCUAAAUGCGAUUUCACCUUACUUUAUUCAAAUUAAAACUGAACUAAUAUUAUCUUACAAAAAUUAACUUAAGCUAAAUGAAAAAUAAAGUGAGCGUGGGAAACGCUUAGUAAGGACAAUGCAUGCUUACUAUCUCGGAGUAGUGCGGACAACACACCUCAAUAAAGUGAGUGUGUAAAGUUACAUACUGAAG
Molecule: long non-coding RNA, 1086 nt
Organism: Musca domestica (house fly)
Lineage: Eukaryota; Metazoa; Arthropoda; Insecta; Diptera; Muscidae
Exons: 4
Source: RefSeq, a predicted model, not a curated record